CAUGUAGGCGGACUAACAAGUUAGGGGUGAAAUCCCGGGGCUUAACCUCGGAACUGCCUUUGAUACUGUUAGUCUAGAGUUCGUGAGAGGAUAGUGGAAUACCCAGUGUGGAGGUGAAAUUCGUAGAUAUUGGGUGGAACACCAGUGGCGAAGGCGACUAUCUGGCGCGAUACUGUCGCUGAGGUGCGAAAGCGUGGGGAGCAAACA
This 207-nucleotide ribosomal RNA is filed under the name uncultured bacterium. RNAcentral's name for it is "partial 16S ribosomal RNA". It matches the Rfam family "Bacterial small subunit ribosomal RNA", at positions 568 to 774 of the family's 1533-position model. The record is from RNAcentral.